ACAGAAAGACAGACAGACACACACACACAGACACACACACUCCACAUCAGCAGCAGAACCCUGGAGCUCAGAGUUGUCUCCUGCAGGGAGACCAAGAAAGGCCCACGACGUGAGGAUGAAGUCACUUGUGACCCCACAGGGCAGGGACUCCACUCACGAGACAUGGGAAAGGAAAAUGUUGCCUAGGACACUGAACGUGCUCUCCCCAUGAUCAAAAGGAACCCUGAAAACCUCCUCCCUCCAGACCUGCCAUGUCAUGGAC
RNAcentral lists this long non-coding RNA (262 nucleotides) under Ictidomys tridecemlineatus (thirteen-lined ground squirrel). Its description in RNAcentral is "lncRNA (ENSSTOG00000033396.1)". Lineage: Eukaryota; Metazoa; Chordata; Mammalia; Rodentia; Sciuridae. The record is from RNAcentral.